UGUCAUAUCGGCGAGGGAAGGGGCAGCUUUUUCUCAUUACACUUUGUCAUAGGCUCCCAGGCCCCUGUCAGUGAAGGCAAGGAGAUUUCCUUCAACACCCACGAAUCCUGAGAAUGUUGGUAGGGCUAUAACAGCAAGGCUGCAGUAAGAUCGUUUGGAUACUAAAGUGACAAGAAUCACCGUGGGCAA
Long non-coding RNA from Scleropages formosus (Asian bonytongue), 189 nucleotides. RefSeq lists it as uncharacterized. The transcript has 3 exons. NCBI's taxonomy places the organism in Eukaryota, Metazoa, Chordata, Actinopteri, Osteoglossiformes, Osteoglossidae. The record is from RefSeq and is a predicted model, not a curated record.